Long non-coding RNA from Rattus norvegicus (Norway rat), 379 nucleotides. RefSeq lists it as uncharacterized. NCBI's taxonomy places the organism in Eukaryota, Metazoa, Chordata, Mammalia, Rodentia, Muridae. The record is from RefSeq and is a predicted model, not a curated record.
CGGAAAGGAAAGGGUUUAUUUCACCUGCCAGUUUAUAGCCCAUUGUGACGGAAGACCAAGGUAACAACUGAGGAAGAGACCAUGGAGGAACAUUGUAACAAGCUCGCUCUCCGGGCUUACUAAGUUUCCAUUUUCAUACAACUCCGGACCACUUGAUCAGAGGUGCAUUCUGGAUGAUUAUGGGUUAUGUACACAAUGAAUGUUAGGCUGGUCCCUAGAGUACAGGUACCGCAGACAAUGCGACAACAGCUGUACAGCAUCAAACAGUCUAUGGCCUGCUGUGACAAUGAAAGAUGGGAGCAAAGGACACCCAGGGCCAUUGAGGUAAGUCAAAGUUUCCAUUGAGUUAGCCAGAAAUUCAUAUCUUCAGAUACACGAG